This 429-nucleotide ribosomal RNA is filed under the name Verrucomicrobiota bacterium. RNAcentral describes it as "Verrucomicrobia bacterium partial 16S ribosomal RNA". It matches the Rfam family "Bacterial small subunit ribosomal RNA", at positions 355 to 776 of the family's 1533-position model. Lineage: Bacteria; Pseudomonadati; Verrucomicrobiota. The record is from RNAcentral.
UAGGGAAUUUUCCGCAAUGGACGAAAGUCUGACGGAGCAACGCCGCGUGAGUGAAGAAGGAUUUCGGUUCGUAAAACUCUGUUGUUAGGGAAGAAAAAAUGUAUAGUAACUAUAUACAAAAGAGACGGUACCUAACCAGAAAGCCACGGCUAACUACGUGCCAGCAGCCGCGGUAAUACGUAGGUGGCAAGCGUUGUCCGGAAUUAUUGGGCGUAAAGCGCGCGCAGGUGGUUUGGAAAGUCUGAUGUGAAAGCCCACGGCUCAACCGUGGAAGUUCAUUGGAAACUACUAAACUUGAGUGCCGGAGAGGAAGGUGGAAUUCCUAGUGUAGCAGUGAAAUGCGUAGAGAUUAGGAGGAACACCGGUGGCGAAAGCGGCUUUUUGGCCUGCAACUGACACUGAGGCGCGAAAGCGUGGGGAGCAAACAGG